RNAcentral lists this unclassified non-coding RNA (378 nucleotides) under plant metagenome. RNAcentral's name for it is "partial contains 5.8S ribosomal RNA, internal transcribed spacer 2, and large subunit ribosomal RNA". The stretch from base 1 to 105 matches the Rfam family "5.8S ribosomal RNA", at positions 50 to 154 of the family's 154-position model. The record is from RNAcentral.
GAAAUGCGAUAAGUAAUGUGAAUUGCAGAAUUCAUUGAAUCAUCGAAUCUUUGAACGCACCUUGCGCUCCUUGGUACUCCUUGGAGCAUGCCUGUUUGAGUAUCAUGAAAUCUUCAAAGUAAAUCUUUUGUUAACUCAAUUGGUUUCUACUUUGGUAUUGGAGGUCUUUGCAGCUUCACACCUGCUCCUCUUUGUUCAUUAGCUGGAUCUCAGUGUUAUGCUUGGUUCCACUCGGCGUGAUAAGUUAUCUAUCGCUGAGGACACUGUAAAAGGUGGCCAAGGUAAAUGCAGAUGAACCGCUUCUAAUAGUCCAUUGACUUGGACAAUACUUUUAUGAUCUGAUCUCAAAUCAGGUAGGACUACCCGCUGAACUUAAGC